CUACGGGCGGCUCCAGUAGGGAAUAUUGCGCAAUGGAGGAAACUCUGACGCAGCGACGCCGCGUGGGUGAUGAAGGUCUUCGGAUCGUAAAGCCCUGUCGGAUGGGAAGAAACACACUGAGGGUAAUAUUCUCAGUGCUUGACGGUACCAUUAAAGGAAGCCCCGGCUAGCUUCGUGCCAGCAGCCGCGGUAAUACGAAGGGGGCAAGCGUUGUUCGGAAUCAUUGGGCGUAAAGCGCGUGUAGGCGGUCUAUUAAGUCGAGUGUGAAAUCCCUGGGCUCAACCGAGGAAGUGCAUUCGAAACUGGCAGACUAGAAGAUGGUAGAGGAUGGUGGAAUUCCAGGUGUAGAGGUGAAAUUCGUAGAUAUCUGGAGGAAUACCGGUGGCGAAGGCGGCCAUCUGGGCCAUUCUUGACGCUGAGACGCGAAAGCGUGGGUAGCAAACAGGAUUAGAUACCCGAGUAGUC
RNAcentral lists this ribosomal RNA (465 nucleotides) under uncultured bacterium. RNAcentral's name for it is "partial 16S ribosomal RNA". It matches the Rfam family "Bacterial small subunit ribosomal RNA", at positions 339 to 795 of the family's 1533-position model. The record is from RNAcentral.